This 632-nucleotide long non-coding RNA is filed under the name Physcomitrium patens. RNAcentral's name for it is "long non-coding RNA (PPAT_LNC003507)". The record is from RNAcentral. Lineage: Eukaryota; Viridiplantae; Streptophyta; Bryopsida; Funariales; Funariaceae.
CUUCUUACAUAUGCCAAUAUUGAGCAUUGCAUUUAGGUUCUCUACAAUAUAAGCAUAAUUUUUUUAACGAUGUUGUAUCUUUUUUUAUUCAAUAAGAGAUUUAAAAUAUGUCAUUGUUGUUCUCGUUGUGUUCAAGCUUUAGUAUAUCAAAGCAAUUGAACUAAUAGAGGUGGAUUCGAACACGAGGAAAGACUGGUCAUAUGAAUUGGGUCUGUUAGUGUCAUAAUUAAUUGUACUCUGGCUAUCUGAAAUCAUCUAUCAAACUAUAAAACAUCAAGACUUACUACUUCCAUCUUGAUUCAACACAUAAUCCAUUCUACGACUAUCAAUUCAAUAAUACUUCUCUCAAUCACAAUUCUUCAUAAGCAAAUAAUAAAAGCAAAGAAAAAAAAGAAGUAGCACCAAGCUUACCCCGGCUUAUGACUCUCACAGUCUGGCUCCGAUCUCUCUUUCCUCAACACCUUUAUCCUACCAAAAAGAUGAUCCAUUAGCCAGUGGAUUCAAAAGGUUAUGAUCCUUUGAAUUCUUAACCAUUUAUUCCACUAACAACCUACUGUUACCAAUUAAACUGCCUAACCAUCAAUCUAAUUCUCAAGGUUAUCAAUAAUUAAGCAGUAACUUAUAACAAAGUU